Molecule: ribosomal RNA, 253 nt
Filed under: uncultured bacterium
Lineage: Bacteria
Description: partial 16S ribosomal RNA
Rfam family: Bacterial small subunit ribosomal RNA
Source: RNAcentral
UACAGAGGUCUCAAGCGUUGUUCGGAUUCAUUGGGCGUAAAGGGUGCGUAGGCGGCGCGGUAAGUCGGGUGUGAAAUCUUGGAGCUUAACUCCGAAACUGCAUUCGAUACUGCCGUGCUUGAGGACUGGAGAGGAGACUGGAAUUUACGGUGUAGCAGUGAAAUGCGUAGAUAUCGUGAGGAAGACCAGUGGCGAAGGCGGGUCUCUGGACAGUUCCUGACGCUGAGGCGCGAAGGCCAGGGGAGCAAACGGG